RNAcentral lists this ribosomal RNA (423 nucleotides) under uncultured cyanobacterium. RNAcentral describes it as "bacterial SSU rRNA". It matches the Rfam family "Bacterial small subunit ribosomal RNA", at positions 357 to 795 of the family's 1533-position model. Lineage: Bacteria; Bacillati; Cyanobacteriota. The record is from RNAcentral.
GGGAAUCUUCCGCAAUGGGCGAAAGCCUGACGGAGCAAUACCGCGUGAGGGAUGAAGGAUUUUGGUCUGUAAACCUCUUUUCUCAAGAAAGAAGUUCUGACGGUACUUGAGGAAUAAGCAUCGGCUAACUCCGUGCCAGCAGCCGCGGUAAGACGGGGGAUGCAAGCGUUAUCCGGAAUGAUUGGGCGUAAAGCGCCUGUAGGUUGUUUAUUAAGUCCGUUGUUAAAGCCUAGGGCUUAACCCUAGAAAAGCAAUGGAAACUAGUAGACUAGAGUAUGGCAGGGGUAGAGGGAAUUUCUAGUGUAGCGGUGAAAUGCGUAGAUAUUAGAAAGACCACCGGUGGCGAAAGCGCUCUACUGGACCAUUACUGACACUCAGAGGCGAAAGCUAGGGUAGCAAAAGGGAUUAGAUACCCCAGUAGUC